RNAcentral lists this unclassified non-coding RNA (379 nucleotides) under uncultured bacterium. RNAcentral's name for it is "contains 16S-23S intergenic spacer region". The record is from RNAcentral.
UCCGAGUUGUCCCCGGCAGUCCCCUUAGAGUCCCCGGCUUUACCCGCUGGCAACUAAGGGCAAGGGUUGCGCUCGUUGCGGCACUUAAGCCAACACCUCACGACACGAGCUGACGACAACCAUGCACCACCUGUGAACCGACCCCAAAGGGGAAGGACUGUUUCCAGCCCGAUCCGGUCCAUGUCAAGCCUUGGUAAGGUUCUUCGCGUUGUUUCGAAUUAAACCACAUGCUCCACCGCUUGUGCGGGCCCCCGUCAAUUCCUUUGAGUUUCAGCCUUGCGGCCGUACUCCCCAGGCGGGGUGCUUAACGCGUUAGCUGCGACACUGACGGGGUCGCUCCCCCCAGCAUCUAGCACCCAUCGUUUACGGCGUGGACUAC